AUACGGAGGGUGCGAGCGUUGUUCGGAAUUACUGGGCGUAAAGGGCGCGUAGGCGGCCUGGCAAGUCUGAUGUGAAAGCCCGGGGCUCAACCCCGGAAGUGCAUCGGAAACUGCCAGGCUUGAGUUCGGAAGAGGAGGGCAGAAUUCCCGGUGUAGGGGUGAAAUCCGUAGAUAUCCGGACGAAAACCAGUGGCGAAGGCGGCCGUCUGGGACGAGACUGACGCUGAGGCGCGAAAGCGUGGGGAGCAAACAGGAUUAGAAACCCUAGUAGUCC
RNAcentral lists this ribosomal RNA (274 nucleotides) under uncultured bacterium. RNAcentral describes it as "partial 16S ribosomal RNA". It matches the Rfam family "Bacterial small subunit ribosomal RNA", at positions 523 to 796 of the family's 1533-position model. The record is from RNAcentral.